This 88-nucleotide transfer RNA is filed under the name uncultured archaeon. Its description in RNAcentral is "tRNA-Leu(tag)". It matches the Rfam family "tRNA". From Rfam's summary of the family: Transfer RNA (tRNA) molecules are approximately 80 nucleotides in length. Their secondary structure includes four short double-helical elements and three loops (D, anti-codon, and T loops). Further hydrogen bonds mediate the characteristic L-shaped molecular structure. tRNAs have two regions of fundamental functional importance: the anti-codon, which is responsible for specific mRNA codon recognition, and the 3' end, to which the tRNAs corresponding amino acid is attached (by aminoacyl-tRNA synthetases). tRNAs cope with the degeneracy of the genetic code in two manners: having more than one tRNA (with a specific anti-codon) for a particular amino acid; and 'wobble' base-pairing, i.e. permitting non-standard base-pairing at the 3rd anti-codon position. The record is from RNAcentral.
UGCGGAGGUCGCCCAGCCCGGUCAAAGGCGGCAGCUUUAGGGGCUGUUCUCGCAGGAGUUCAUGGGUUCGAAUCCCAUCCUCCGCAUC